AUCUACGGCCAUGCUGCCCUGAACAAGCCCGAUCCCAUCUGAUCUCGGAAGCUAAGCAGGGUCGGGCCUGGUUAGUACUUGGAUGGGAGACCACCUAGGAAGAUCAGGUACUAUAGGUG
RNAcentral lists this ribosomal RNA (119 nucleotides) under Pteropus alecto (black flying fox). Lineage: Eukaryota; Metazoa; Chordata; Mammalia; Chiroptera; Pteropodidae. The record is from RNAcentral.